AGGUAGCCUGCGUGCAGUCCCAGACUCCAAAGGAAGUAGGCUCCUACUUCCUACUUCCUUUGGAGUCUGGGACUGCACGCAGGC
Non-coding RNA from Paramuricea clavata, 84 nucleotides. NCBI's taxonomy places the organism in Eukaryota, Metazoa, Cnidaria, Anthozoa, Malacalcyonacea, Plexauridae. The record is from the annotation of a GenBank genome assembly.